RNAcentral lists this small nuclear RNA (23 nucleotides) under Arabidopsis thaliana (thale cress). RNAcentral describes it as "snRNA_02382". The record is from RNAcentral. Lineage: Eukaryota; Viridiplantae; Streptophyta; Magnoliopsida; Brassicales; Brassicaceae.
GAGACGUCGGCGGGGGCCUCGGG